UUCGGAGGUUAGCGGCGGACGGGUGAGUAACACGUGGGCAACCUGCCUGUAAGACUGGGAUAACUCCGGGAAACCGGAGCUAAUACCGGAUAGUAUCUUGAACCGCAUGGUUCAAGUUGGAAAGACGGUUUCGGCUGUCACUUACAGAUGGGCCCGCGGCGCAUUAGCUAGUUGGUGAGGUAAUGGCUCACCAAGGCAACGAUGCGUAGCCGACCUGAGAGGGUGAUCGGCCACACUGGGACUGAGACACGGCCCAGACUCCUACGGGAGGCAGCAGUAGGGAAUCUUCCGCAAUGGACGAAAGUCUGACGGAGCAACGCCGCGUGAGUGAUGAAGGUUUUCGGAUCGUAAAACUCUGUUGUUAGGGAAGAACAAGUGCGAGAGUAACUGCUCGCACCUUGACGGUACCUAACCAGAAAGCCACGGCUAACUACGUGCCAGCAGCCGCGGUAAUACGUAGGUGGCAAGCGUUGUCCGGAAUUAUUGGGCGUAAAGCGCGCGCAGGCGGUUUCUUAAGUCUGAUGUGAAAGCCCCCGGCUCAACCGGGGAGGGUCAUUGGAAACUGGGAAACUUGAGUGCAGAAGAGGAGAGUGGAAUUCCACGUGUAGCGGUGAAAUGCGUAGAGAUGUGGAGGAACACCAGUGGCGAAGGCGACUCUCUGGUCUGUAACUGACGCUGAGGCGCGAAAGCGUGGGGAGCGAACAGGAUUAGAUACCCUGGUAGUCCACGCCGUAAACGAU
RNAcentral lists this ribosomal RNA (740 nucleotides) under Metabacillus idriensis. Its description in RNAcentral is "bacterial SSU rRNA". It matches the Rfam family "Bacterial small subunit ribosomal RNA", at positions 84 to 810 of the family's 1533-position model. The record is from RNAcentral. Lineage: Bacteria; Bacillati; Bacillota; Bacilli; Caryophanales; Bacillaceae.